This 253-nucleotide ribosomal RNA is filed under the name uncultured bacterium. RNAcentral describes it as "partial 16S ribosomal RNA". It matches the Rfam family "Bacterial small subunit ribosomal RNA", at positions 524 to 776 of the family's 1533-position model. The record is from RNAcentral.
UACAGAGGGUGCAAGCGUUACUCGGAAUUACUGGGCGUAAAGCGUGCGUAGACGGUCAUGUAAGUCGGGUGUGAAAGCCCCGGGCUCAACCUGGGAAUUGCAUUCGAGACUGCAUGGCUAGGGUGCGGAAGAGGGAAGCGGAAUUUCCGGUGUAGCGGUGAAAUGCGUAGAUAUCGGGAGGAACACCUGUGGCGAAAGCGGCUCACUGGACCACAACUGACGCUGAGGCGCGAAAGCUAGGGGAGCAAACAGG